AGCCAUUUGUAGUUGUGAGAAGAAAGAAGCUAGCUUCUAAGAGGGGACGAGGCCCCAAGAUGUGAACCGGAGCCAUUUGAAGUUGUGAAUCAUUUGCACUUGUGGGUGUUGCACUUGUGUUGUGAACCACUUGCUUACCGCGGGUGUUGUGAACCAUUUGCUGUUAAUGCUAUGAAUUGUGGGUGUUGCACUUCUAAAAGGGUUUAAUGCUAUGAAUUGUGAACCAUUUGCUUACGAUGAUUUAUAUGCUGUCAAUUGCUGUCAAAA
Molecule: long non-coding RNA, 267 nt
Filed under: Hordeum vulgare
Lineage: Eukaryota; Viridiplantae; Streptophyta; Magnoliopsida; Poales; Poaceae
Description: long non-coding RNA (HVUL_LNC016811)
Source: RNAcentral